CGCGGGGUGGAGCAGCUUGGUAGCUCGUCGGGCUCAUAACCCGAAGGUCGUCGGUUCAAAUCCGGCUCACGCAACCA
This 77-nucleotide transfer RNA is filed under the name Vibrio parahaemolyticus. Its description in RNAcentral is "tRNA-Met". It matches the Rfam family "tRNA". From Rfam's summary of the family: Transfer RNA (tRNA) molecules are approximately 80 nucleotides in length. Lineage: Bacteria; Pseudomonadati; Pseudomonadota; Gammaproteobacteria; Vibrionales; Vibrionaceae. The record is from RNAcentral.